GGAUAGAUGAUGACAACAAGUCUCUGAGGAUGGUGGUCGACUAUACAAAUGGCAAUCUGAGGUCC
Small nucleolar RNA from Phodopus roborovskii (desert hamster), 65 nucleotides. RefSeq annotates it as small nucleolar RNA SNORD109A. The record is from RefSeq and is a predicted model, not a curated record. NCBI's taxonomy places the organism in Eukaryota, Metazoa, Chordata, Mammalia, Rodentia, Cricetidae. The transcript has a single exon.